UGAAUCGGUUUGCAUUUUGCUGAAUUAUUGUUUUUUUCUACGUGAUUUAUUGGUCUCUUUUGGUUCCAGAAGUGCAUGCUCACCAUACUAUGUAGUUGGGUUGAUGUAUUGGCAUGAAUGUUGUUUCGGUCGAAUGGGUUGAGGCAGCGAAAUUGCAGCAGGAAAAUGCAGUGUCUUGCGUUUUUUUCUGUUUCUUCCCUAUGACUGCAGUUGGUUAUUGGAUGUUAAGGUGUUGUGUUUUAGUAUUUGGAUUAAAGCUGUGUUUUUUUUGCACUGAAAUCUGGUUUGCUUGACAUGGAAUGCAGCUGUUUCUGGCGCAUUUCAUAACAAAAAUACAAUGGCAGCAAACUUCGUUUUUGUUCAUGGUGUGUUUUAGAUUUGUUGGAAGGAAUCGAUUCCCUGGUUGCUGAAAUGUUUGAUGUUUAAAUGAUAGUUAGCUCACUUGUAUAUUAUAUCAAUCUGCUUUGCUGAAAUGGUGGAGUCUUUGUGCAUAGAGAUGUGCAUCAGAUGUUCAUGUAGGAACCCAGCAAAUAGAAUUACCGAAAUCUGCUAUGUUGCAUGCAUGAAAUGUUUUCUGAAUUUGGACUUUAGCCCCCUAAGUCUCCCCUUGUUCCACUAAAACCCGAUAAAUUGAAUAACUUCAUCAAUUGGGUCCUUGGUAGUUUUAACUUUUGCAACUUCAUUGUUUGUGUGAUUCAAUUAGUCGCCUUGCUUCAUUUAAUUUGCUAUUAAAGCACGAACUUAAGAGCUUUGUGUCCAAGUGAGAUUAUGUUUGCCUAUUUUCUUUAAUUAUUCUUAAAUAAAAUGGUACCUUGACUUUUUUUAUUGUUUUGAAGUCGUUUUUUCUUUCAUUUUGGGCACCACAACAAGGGAGGUAUAACUUUCUUUUAUCCUUUUUGUCUCUCCUAUGUGAUCCAAUUUGCUAAUUGAGAAUUACAUGUUUACUUGGCUUUUCUUAAAUUUGCUUUAAUUCCUU
This 976-nucleotide long non-coding RNA is filed under the name Coffea arabica (coffee). Its description in RNAcentral is "long non-coding RNA (CARA_LNC005912)". Lineage: Eukaryota; Viridiplantae; Streptophyta; Magnoliopsida; Gentianales; Rubiaceae. The record is from RNAcentral.